GACGAACGCUGGCGGCGUGCUUAACACAUGCAAGUCGAACGGCAAGGCCCUGCUUUCGUGGGGUGCUCGAGUGGCGAACGGGUGAGUAACACGUGAGUAACCUGCCCUUGACUUUGGGAUAACUUCAGGAAACUGGGGCUAAUACCGGAUAGGAGCUCCUGCUGCAUGGUGGGGGUUGGAAAGUUUCGGCGGUUGGGGAUGGACUCGCGGCUUAUCAGCUUGUUGGUGGGGUAGUGGCUUACCAAGGCUUUGACGGGUAGCCGGCCUGAGAGGGUGACCGGCCACAUUGGGACUGAGAUACGGCCCAGACUCCUACGGGAGGCAGCAGUGGGGAAUAUUGCACAAUGGGCGGAAGCCUGAUGCAGCAACGCCGCGUGCGGGAUGACGGCCUUCGGGUUGUAGACCGCUUUCGCCUGUGACGAAGCGUGAGUGACGGUAAUGGGUAAAGAAGCACCGGCUAACUACGUG
RNAcentral lists this ribosomal RNA (468 nucleotides) under uncultured bacterium. RNAcentral describes it as "partial 16S ribosomal RNA". It matches the Rfam family "Bacterial small subunit ribosomal RNA", at positions 28 to 507 of the family's 1533-position model. The record is from RNAcentral.